GACGAACGCUGGCGGCAGGCCUAAUACAUGCAAGUCGAACGCCCCGCAAGGGGAGUGGCGCACGGGUGAGUAACGCGUGGGGAUGUGCCCUUGGGUACGGAACGACACCGGGAAACUGGUGCUAAUACCGUAUAAUGACUCCGGUCCAAAGAUUUAUCGCCCAAGGAUCAACCCGCGUUGGAUUAGCUAGUUGGUGAGGUAAUGGCUCACCAAGGCGACGAUCCAUAGCUGGUCUUAGAGGAUGGUCAGCCACACUGGAACUGAGACACGGUCCAGACUCCUACGGGAGGCAGCAGUAAGGAAUAUUGGACAAUGGGGGAAACCCUGAUCCAGCCAUGCCGCGUGAAUGAAGAAGGCCUUAGGGUUGUAAAGUUCUUUUAGUGGUGAAGAUAAUGACGGUAGCCACAGAAAAAGCUCCGGCUAACUCCGUGCCAGCCGCCGCUGUAA
RNAcentral lists this ribosomal RNA (447 nucleotides) under uncultured bacterium. Its description in RNAcentral is "partial 16S ribosomal RNA". It matches the Rfam family "Bacterial small subunit ribosomal RNA", at positions 28 to 523 of the family's 1533-position model. The record is from RNAcentral.